Molecule: ribosomal RNA, 391 nt
Filed under: uncultured bacterium
Lineage: Bacteria
Description: bacterial SSU rRNA
Rfam family: Bacterial small subunit ribosomal RNA
Source: RNAcentral
GACGAACGCUGGCGGCGUGGAUUAGGCAUGCAAGUCGAGCGACGGACAGUCUUCGGACUGUUACGGAGCGGCGAACGGGUGAGUAACGCGUGAACAACCUGUCCCCACAUUCCGGAUAAUUCACCGAAAGGUGUUGUAAUACGGGCGAGGGUCGUUCCCCGGCAUCGGGGAGUGAAGGAAGGCGUAAGCCGUGCGGGGAGGGGUUCGCGACCUAUCAGGUAGUUGGUGAGGUAAAGGCUCACCAAGCCAACGACGGGUAGCUGGUCUGAGAGGAUGGUCAGCCACAUUGGGACUGAGAACUGCCCAGACUCUACGGGAGGCCGCAGUCGAGAAUCUUGGGCAAUGCACGAAAGUGUGACCCAGCGACGCCGCGUGAAGGAUGAAGGCCCCC